AACCAGCACCUCAAGUGGUCAGGAUGAUUAUUGGGCCUAAAGCAUCCGUAGCCGGCUCUGUAAGUUUUCGGUUAAAUCUGUAUGCUUAACGUACAGGCUGCCGGAAAUACUGCAUAGCUAGGAAGUGGGAGAGGUAGACGGUACUCGGUAGGAAGGUGUAAAAUCCUUUGAUCUAUUGAUGACCACCUGUGGCGAAGGCGGUCUACCAGAACACGUACGACGGUGAGGGAUGAAAGCUGGGGGAGCAAACCGGAUUAGAUACCCGGGUAGUCCCAGCUGUAAACUAUGCAAACUCAGUGAUGCAUUGGCUUGUGGCCAAUGCAGUGCUGCAGGGAAGCCGUUAAGUUUGCCGCCUGGGAAGUACGUACGCAAGUAUGAAACUUAAAGGAAUUGGCGGGGGAGCACCACAAGGGGUGAAGCCUGCGGUUCAAUUGGAGUCAACGCCAGAAAUCUUACCCGGAGAGACAGCAGAAUGAAGGUCAAGCUGAAGACUUUACCAGACAAGCUGAGAGGUGGUGCAUGGCCGUCGCCAGCUCGUGCCGUGAGAUGUCCUGUUAAGUCAGGUAACGAGCGAGAUCCCUGCCUCUAGUUGCCACCAUUACUCUCAGGAGUAGUGGGGCGAAUUAGCGGGACCGCCGCAGUUAAUGCGGAGGAAGGAAGGGGCCACGGCAGGUCAGUAUGCCCCGAAACUCUGGGGCCACACGCGGGCUCCAAUGGUAACGCCAAUGGGUUUCGAAUUCGAAAGGAUGAGGUAAUCCUCAAACGCUACCACAGUUAUGACUGAGGGCUGCAACUCGCCCUCACGAAUAUGGAAUCCCUAGUAACUGCGUGUCACUAUCGCGCGGUGAAUACGUCCCUGCUCCU
Molecule: ribosomal RNA, 864 nt
Filed under: uncultured archaeon
Lineage: Archaea
Description: SSU rRNA
Rfam family: Archaeal small subunit ribosomal RNA
Source: RNAcentral